This 1557-nucleotide ribosomal RNA is filed under the name uncultured prokaryote. RNAcentral's name for it is "partial 16S ribosomal RNA". It matches the Rfam family "Bacterial small subunit ribosomal RNA". The record is from RNAcentral.
CAUGCAAGUCGAGCGGUAGAGAGAAGCUUGCCUCUCUUGAGAGCGGCGGACGGGUGAGUAAUGCCUAGGAAUCUGCCUGGUAGUGGGGGAUAACGUUCGGAAACGGACGCUAAUACCGCAUACGUCCUACGGGAGAAAGCAGGGGACCUUCGGGCCUUGCGCUAUCAGAUGAGCCUAGGUCGGAUUAGCUAGUUGGUGAGGUAAUGGCUCACCAAGGCGACGAUCCCGUAACUGGUCUGAGAGGAUGAUCAGUCACACUGGAACUGAGACACGGUCCAGACUCCUACGGGAGGACAGCAGUGGGGAAUAUUGGACAAUGGGCGAAAGCCCUGAUCCCAGCCAUGCCGCGUGUGUGAAGAAGGUCUUCGGAUUGUAAAGCACUUUAAGUUGGGAGGAAGGGCAGUUACCUAAUACGUGAUUGUUUUGACGUUACCGACAGAAUAAGCACCGGCUAACUCUGUGCCAGCAGCCGCGGUAAUACAGAGGGUGCAAGCGUUAAUCGGAAUUACUGGGCGUAAAGCGCGCGUAGGUGGUUAGUUAAGUUGGAUGUGAAAGCCCUGGGCUCAACCUGGGAACUGCAUGGGAUACUGGCAGUCUAGAAUACAGUAGAGGGUAGUGGAAUUUCAGGUGUAGCGGUGAAAUGCGUAGAGAUCUGAAGGAACAUCAGUGGCGAAGGCGACUACCUGGACUGAUAUUGACGCUGAGGUGCGAAAGCGUGGGGAGCAAACGGGAUUAGAUACCCCGGUAGUCCAGUAGAGGGUAGUGGAAUUUCAGGUGUAGCGGUGAAAUGCGUAGAGAUCUGAAGGAACAUCAGUGGCGAAGGCGACUACCUGGACUGAUAUUGACGCUGAGGUGCGAAAGCGUGGGGAGCAAACGGGAUUAGAUACCCCGGUAGUCCACGCCGUAAACGAUGUCAACUAGUUGUUGGGUAUAUAAAGAUACUUAGUGACGAAGAGCUAAGCCGGUAAGUUGACCGCCUGGGGAGUACGGCCGCAAGGUUAAAACUCAAAUGAAUUGACGGGGGCCCGCACAAGCGGUGGAGCAUGUGGUUUAAUUCGAUGCAACGCGAAGAACCUUACCAGGUCUUGACAUCCCGAGAAUUUGCUAGAGAUAGCUUAGUGCCUUCGGGAACAUUGAGACAGGUGCUGCAUGGCUGUCGUCAGCUCGUGUCGUGAGAUGUUGGGUUAAGUCCCGUAACGAGCGCAACCCUUGUCCUUAGUUGCCAGCACGUAAUGGUGGGAACUCUAAGGAGACUGCCGGUGACAAACCGGAGGAAGGUGGGGACGACGUCAAGUCAUCAUGGCCCUUACGACCUGGGCUACACACGUGCUACAAUGGUCGGUACAGAGGGUUGCCAAGCCGCGAGGUGGAGCUAAUCCCAGAAAACCGAUCGUAGUCCGGAUUGGAGUCUGCAACUCGACUCCAUGAAGUCGGAAUCGCUAGUAAUCGCGAAUCAGAAUGUCGCGGUGAAUACGUUCCCGGGCCUUGUACACACCGCCCGUCACACCAUGGGAGUGGGUUGCAAAAGAAGUGGGUAGACUAACCUUAGGGAGGUCG